Molecule: long non-coding RNA, 1616 nt
Organism: Arabidopsis lyrata subsp. lyrata
Lineage: Eukaryota; Viridiplantae; Streptophyta; Magnoliopsida; Brassicales; Brassicaceae
Exons: 3
Source: RefSeq, a predicted model, not a curated record
AAAAGGAAAACCCUAAUUCACUAAAUCAUCAUUCAUUAGUGAAGAUGGGAAAUUUAGUUUCAAAAGUUUCCAUAUUUGGGAUCUUCGCAUCUAAAACAGAGACUAGUUUGUUUCGAAAAAAUGGAAGCUUUGGAAAGCCAAAGCCUAAGACAAGACAACAAUGGCUCUGUUUUUCAGCCGAAUCUCCAAGCUUUCUACUGCUUGCAGGGUUAACAAUGCUCGCUUCUUUUAAGUCUGGUUACUAUACUGGAGCACAAGCCUUCCAGAUAACUCGAGUAUCAAUUUAAAGAACAAGACAUAGAGUCUACUUGUUGAAUCAAAUCUACAUAUACAUUUUUACAGGGUUUUUUUUGCAUUAAUUCUUUUGGAUCCGAGUUUUAUCCGGGUUUAACUCUAUCCGGAUCUUGGAUAAAGAUUUUUAGGAAUGUUGUCUUAAAACAAACGAAUAUUUAUCUUUUAAUUACUCUAACAAUUCGGUUUAAUGAUAUUACCUAAAAUAUUUGCCACAUUAAUCGGAUCCGGAUCCUUUUUAUAUUAAAUUGAUUACGAAUAUUUGCACAAUCUAAACUAAUUACUCUCCACAUACCUUAUCGCAUAUAUAGUUAGGAAAUAUUAACCAAAAGAUUUAGGAAAUAAGAAUAUAUGCAAUAAUCCACUAUCUUAGCCUAAUUAAUAUGACUAUAUCUCUUCACUUUCUUAUAAUUAGCCAUAUUUAAUUCGAAAAAUUUUCUCCCUCAAAUCAAUCCACUGUUACUCCCAAAAAUAUUAAUCUUAAGCAUAUUCUUUACAUAUUCCAAAAUAAAAAUAUUGCCUAAAUCAAGGGGUCUACUAUCUUUUACAAUAUUCCAUCGUAACUAUAUUGUUACCUUACAAAAAUUCUAUCAUUAAUCGUGAUUGAUCAUAUAAUCCAAAAAUUUGUUUAAGAAAUCUAAGAUUUUCUACUUGAUUUCCAGGAUAUUCUAAAACCGACUCAACCUUAACCCUACAUGAACAAUGCAUCUAUAAAUACCAAAAGUCAACGGGCUUCAAAUUGGUUUAAGAGAAGCUCAAGUUAUGCCAAGGGAAGACAGCCUUCCGUCGCUUAUUCUCAAGAUUUUGUACCCCAAUAUUUCUAGAGGUAAUUGUCUAUUGGGCAUAUUGAUGCUUUCAGUUUGUAAUUUAGCCGUAAACUGUUUAAAAAGUCCUUUAUGUUGUAUUUUCUUGCAGUCCUUCAACUUAACCUUUCUAGCUGAAUGGGGUGACCGUAGCAAGAUCGCUACAAUAGAUGUAAGACUCAUCUUUCAAAUCUAGCUUCUUAAAAAAAUUGACCAGUGAAUGACAUUUAUCUUUUUUGAAGUGUCGAUAUAGGUACGAUUGUCCAUCGGGGCAACUAUUGGACAAACGCGUUGUGUACUUCACCAGCGGUUGUUGGAGGAAGCAUGCUGGCUUUAAGGAUCUCACAACGGACGGUUGCAACUGUUGGAGGCUUGCUCUUCUUCGGCUUUUCAGUCUCCUCCUAUUUCUAUCCUCCAUUACAGUCAAUGCGCUUCUUUCGAAAAUGGGUGUUGGAGACAUUUUCUAAGUAAAGUUUCAAUUUUGUUUUUUUUUUUGUAUUAAAUUUGAUUUUUGUUUAAUAC